GCGAGGAUGGCGGAACUGGUAGACGCACCAGACUUAGGAUCUGGUAUCGAAAGAUGUGAGGGUUCAAGUCCCUUUCCUCGCA
Molecule: transfer RNA, 82 nt
Filed under: Deinococcus maricopensis DSM 21211
Lineage: Bacteria; Thermotogati; Deinococcota; Deinococci; Deinococcales; Deinococcaceae
Rfam family: tRNA
About the family: Transfer RNA (tRNA) molecules are approximately 80 nucleotides in length.
Source: Rfam by way of RNAcentral